This is a non-coding RNA of Dipodomys ordii (Ord's kangaroo rat), 279 nucleotides long. The record is from Rfam. Lineage: Eukaryota; Metazoa; Chordata; Mammalia; Rodentia; Heteromyidae.
AGACAUGAGGGCAAUCUGACUAUGACACUGGCAUCCCACUGAUGACAAGGAUCGAUCACUGAUCUGACUGUAUAGGAGGGUAUACCCUUCCCUUCUCACAGCCCUAUAUGUCCCUUCCUAAGGCUGCAAGGACAGCCUUCCCCCAUAGAACAGGACCUUUCUUAGGUCAAAGGCACAUAAGUAGCUGUGAUCUACAUGUUGGACAUGUUGUUUAUCUUAUGACAAGCAACAGAACAGAAUAAAGUCUGGCCAGUACUGACAUCCUACAGGACACUCGGA